Molecule: long non-coding RNA, 941 nt
Organism: Gorilla gorilla gorilla (western lowland gorilla)
Lineage: Eukaryota; Metazoa; Chordata; Mammalia; Primates; Hominidae
Exons: 3
Source: RefSeq, a predicted model, not a curated record
GUAAAAUUGAGUGACUUAUAUACUAGCUAAUCUUUAGACUGCAAAUACAGUAAUUUCUAGGCAUUGUAGUGAGGAUGGACAGUAAUACAUGGCACUCACACUAAAUACUGAGAAAUCACUGCAGUCACCACUGCUACUGUUACCACCAUUGAGAUAGUAGAAUAGAAGCUUUCUUCACCUGUCUUCGCAUUACUGAGCCACUAACCAGUGCUCUCCCCUGCCACUGUAAACAUUCUGUGGCCGCCCACAGCGCUCUGAAAGUUGGAGGCUGGUCAGCGACACCUCAGUGAGCUCUCCCACAUCUGCCUUCAUUCAAUGAGUCAUUUGAUUAACAAGAGUCUGUGGAUUUGUUCCCAUGCCUUCUAAUGCCAGUUAUAUUUGUAACUUUAAUUUCAAAAUUCAACUGAAUUACUAUAUAAACUAAAAAACUAAGAGUGUGAAAGCAAGAGAAUAGUUGCUUCUGUGAAAAAUAAGUCAAAUGCUAUGGAAUGACUUGAAAAAUAUGAGUUCCUAAAAAAUAUGCUGAACAAUUCAGUGAGGAAGAAACUACCGUAAAGAUGAAAAAAUACACAAACAAUGAAGGAUUCUGCAUUCAGAUAUCUUUGGAUUUCUCAGCCAAGCAUCAAUGAAUCUUGAAUCUCAGCUGAUGACACUCCUGGGCAAAAUGGCUAUGAAACUGGAAAGAUGUCUAUGAAACACACAAUCCCUCAAGCCAGAAAAUGCACUUGACACAUCUGUGUCCCUUGAGGAACCCGAAGUUUUGGUGAAUCCAGAAAGCCAUGGAUGGCAGAACUGACCACAGAAAAAGAAACAGAGGCUCAGAAAGGUGAAGCCAAUUGCCCGAAGCCACACAGAAUAUCAGCUGGAGUCAGGAUUCUAACACCAUCCCAUGUGAGUUUAGACAUGUGCACGUAAUCCCCAGGACAUACCAAAAGAAACAG